Molecule: ribosomal RNA, 240 nt
Filed under: uncultured soil bacterium
Lineage: Bacteria
Description: partial 16S ribosomal RNA
Rfam family: Bacterial small subunit ribosomal RNA
Source: RNAcentral
AGAUUGAACGCUGGCGGCAUGCCUUACACAUGCAAGUCGAACGGCAGCACGGGAGCAAUCCUGGUGGCGAGUGGCGAACGGGUGAGUAGUAUAUCGGAACGUGCCCAGUCGUGGGGGAUAACGUAGAGAAAUUUACGCUAAUACCGCAUACGAUCCAAGGAUGAAAGCGGGGGAACCGUAAGGCCUCGCGCGACUGGAGCGGCUGAUAUCAGAUUAGCUUGUUGGUGAGGUAAAAGCUCA